This 903-nucleotide long non-coding RNA is filed under the name Elaeis guineensis (African oil palm). RNAcentral's name for it is "long non-coding RNA (EGUI_LNC072101)". Lineage: Eukaryota; Viridiplantae; Streptophyta; Magnoliopsida; Arecales; Arecaceae. The record is from RNAcentral.
UUCUAUCGUGAGUUCCGACAAGAUGGAGGUUAUGGAUAACUCGUCAAACCAUACAUUAUGGAUAACUCGUCAAACUACACAUCUGUUAUAUGUUAUAUUCAAUUGACUUGAGUUCUUUGUGAAACUUUAUGGAAAUUCUUUUUCAUCAUUCAAACUAUCAUGGCCAUGGACUUCAGAACUCAGUGUCAUGAUCAACAUAGGAUUUUUUCUUAUUUACUAAGGUCGAUAGAUCCCAUCUAGGCGCACAUCUUAUUCCUUUAAUGAAUCUACUACAGCCAACAUACACCUCAAGAUUUCAUAUGGCUAGGAGAUCGAAUUAUAGUGCAGUCAAACUACAACAACCUCAUUGUGAAUAGUCGAGGCAUCGCAGGUCAAAGAACUAUUCAUACUAUUGUAGUAUCGAGUAUGUCACUGACGAGAACAUAGAUAUCCGAGUGGCUACUCGUGUUGGUUACAUUCGAUACUCUUGUUUUCUAACAAUCACCUUUACUCUCACUCCAAUAUCUCUACACUAGAUUUGAGAUCCGUCUAUCCUAAAGGGAUGCGAUCCGUGCACCAAUCUAUCCGGAUGAAUCACUGUCCCCGAAUGAUCCAACAUUUUUUCUUAUCUACUAAGGUCGAUAGAUCCCAUCUAGGCACACAUCUUAUUCCUAUAAUGAAUCUACUACAGCCAACAUACACCUCAAGAUUCCAUAUGGCUAGGAGAUCGAAUUAUAGUGCAGUCAAACUACAACAACCUCAUUGUGAAUAGUCGAGGCAUCGCAGGUCAAAGAACUAGUCAUACUAUUGUAGUAUCGAGUAUGUCACUGACGAGAACGUAGAUAUCCGAGUGGCUACUCGUGUUGGUCACGUUCGAUACUCUUGUUUUCUAACAAUCACCUUUACUCUCACUCCAAUAUCUCU